RNAcentral lists this long non-coding RNA (4875 nucleotides) under Sus scrofa (pig). RNAcentral describes it as "lncRNA (ENSSSCG00050028016.1)". The record is from RNAcentral. Lineage: Eukaryota; Metazoa; Chordata; Mammalia; Artiodactyla; Suidae.
GGGAGUCUUUAAAUUGUGGCAACUAGAAAUUAACAACAGGACCCGUAAUGGCCACAAGCUUUUAUUCUAUAGCUGUAUUUGACUCUUGGGCUGCAGUAAUGAGCAGGUAGACACUAGCAAUUAGUUCUCUUAAAUGUGUCAAAUAUGUUGAUAAUUAUACUUUACACGUAUACAGAACUUAGUUUACAAAGAACCGCAUCUCUUCUCUCUAUUGAUCUUCUGAACAUAUGCAGGGCAGGUAUGAUUAGCCCCACUUUGCAGAUGAGGAAACUGGUGCCAUAGUGGUUAAAUCACCUGCGCUACAUCCCUCAGGUAACAGUGGUAGGGAUAGGACUUUAACCCUCUUAUCUCUUAUCUUAUCCAGCAAAUUUUCCAUGUCUGGAUUGUACUUAACCCAGCAGUUUCCGGGGAUGAGCACAACCAGUGGAUGUAUUUUUGUUGUUGUUGUUGUUGCUCCUUUUCCAAUCGGGUGAGGUCCUGGAUUGGGUGGGUUAGUCUUUUUUUGACAUCAGUUUACCAAUCUGUGUAAUGGGAUGUAAACACCACCCAUCAGUGAGUGAAUCUUUUUUUGACAUCAGUUUACCAAUCUGUGUAAUGGGAUGUAAACACCACCCAUCAUGAGUGCACUUAGAGCAGAGGAGGUUGUGAGCAUUCAGAACUUCAAAAACAAUUUCUGAGGGAAGAUGUUUGGAAGGGACUUUGAUGUCUCUGAUUCAUUUUCCAUAAAAUGAAUUAAAUGGUACCUUCCCUGGUCAUGCUAAAAUGGCAUCUCUGUUACUUCAUUAUCCUGCAUCCUGUUUCUUCACAGCAUCCACUGCCAUUUAUUAUAUAUUUGUUUGUUUAUGGCAUGUCUGAAUCCUCCCACCCAAAUGUGAUAGCCUUGAGAGCAGGGAUUUGGUUUUCCUGCACCCCUGAAUCGCUAACAGGUUGGAACCGUGCCAGGCACAAACAACCAUUUGCUGAGUGAAAGAACAAAGAAGUGAAUCUGAGCUAUGUAAUGAUUGAAAGUAAGCUUGAUAUUUGGAUGAUUGAAAAAAGUCUGCUUGAGUGUUCCUUGCUGUCUAACAGAGGGGUCUCGGUCUGGCUUUCACAGAUCCAUUUCUGUGUCAGCCAUCCAGUGGCUUAAAACCAAUCCCUAAAGCCUUGAGUACCAAUUCAUACCUGGGUGAAAUAGGUUCAAUAACCCAGGUCCAUGCAGCAGACAUAGGUCGUUGUAUUGCACUGUGUGCCUCUGCAUUGAAUUGGCCUGGGAGCAGCUUGAGGCCUGGGGCUGGUCUCCUUCACUGUUCAGUCCCAAGUAGUUAUUUAUCAUAGAGCCUGGCCCUCAGAGAGGUAAAAGACAUGUUUGCUGAAUGAAUGAAUAUAUAGAGGAAACAAGCACAGGGCUCUUAAUCCCCCUCAAAGCUAAGGUCUCCAUUUGAGAAGAAGCUUGGUUCAUGGCAAACACAUUACUCUUUCAACUAAAAUCAAAUCUCUCCAGAGAUAAGGAGGCACUAAACAACUGGUGUCCUAACCCACUGCAAGGAAAGGCAAACCUAGGCUCCAGAUCCAGUUCCAUGCCAUGUUUUGGAAUUUGUGUUUACGUCUGCCUUCAUCCCCAUCCUUUCCGCUCUAGCAUAAGCAAAAUUAUAACCCCGCACACUGACUUGCAGGCAAUUAUCAGAGCCCUGGUGCUCCUCCGUUGAGGGACUUCGCCCCCGAGACCGCUGACUGUAUGUGAAUAACAAAUCAAAAGUCAGGGUUGCAGAAUCAGCCGGACUUUCCCGCUCCUUUGCAGCAGAGGGAGGAAGCAGAGAAUGAAAGAUUCUGAAAAUAAAGGUAAGGGGCUGACUGCAGAAGGGAGGCUAAAAGAUGCUAGAGAUAAGAUGUCACUCUACAGACAUGUGUAGUAGGUGUUAUAUGGCUGAUUUAAAAUUACCGUGCAGAUAUUAUUUAAAAAUUCUAGUUAUAUAAUAAACAUGACUUUUAAAAAUAACCAGCUCUGCUUUCCAAGUAUUGUGUCAUUCAGUUUUCCAUUUUUGUGCUACUAAAUAUAACAUCUUUGCAUCCUUCAUUUAGUCUUGGCUGAGUAACACUAUUUACAUUUCAUAGAUUUCCUUAUAAUAGCUCCCUUUUAUUUGGGGAGUGUUCACAAUAGUUCAUUGAUAUGUAGACUUUUAAUGUAUUAUUAGAACUGCAACAUCUGAAAUACUUAGGACUUUUUACAUUUUGGGUUCUCUAGAAAAACGCUGACCCAAGAAUCCUUUCAUGAACAUUAACCUUUUCAGGUGGAUCCAAAGGGAAGACGUCACUGACCUUCAAAAACUGUUGAUCUUACAGAGAUAAUCAGAUGCCAACUCCCCCACUUUGCAAGCCUCCAUCCCCUAGAUCCUUGGCAUCUCCCCCCACCCCACCCCCAAUCCUCCCCUCAUCCUUAAUUCUGCUUGAGGCAAGGGGAAGGCGAGAAACAGAUUUAAAGGAAAACUCAGCAAAGAACAGAGUUCUCUAAAAUUAGCCAGCCAAAUGUUAAGUUCAACGACAAGGGUUCUGGAGGAUUCUGGGGUUUUAAGUUCCGAGGCGCCUUACAUUUUCUGCCGCAGUUGGGGGAGGAGCGAUAAAUCCCAAGGUCUCAGGAGGCUGCACGUGUUCCCGGAUCCUGUUUCCCGGAGGGAGCUCUUCCUUGGUGCCGCGUAGGGGCUGCUCCUGGUCCGGGUGCAGGAGGAGGGCGCAGAGCGGCCGGGCUCCGGGCGAAAGCUCCGGGGCAGCCGCUGCGGCAGAGGACGCCAUCUCAGCGCCUCCUGGCCCAGCCUCUGCUUCCCCUGCGCUAAUUUUAGGCUUGUCCUACCCCCCUCCCCUUCUCCCCAGCGGGCGGUCACUGAUCUGACUCCGGAGCCUCUCCUCUCAGUGGGUUGAGGAGGCCUCAGCACUUUGCCCUUGGCCGCCAGACUUGGGUGCUCGGGUGGAGGUGGCACGCAGCAGCGGGCAGGUUACCGGCGCCCUCCGAGCCUCCCCAACGCUGGAGCUAAGCUGCUCGGAAGCUUGGUGAGACCGCACAGGUCCCCCGCCUUGUCCUCACUGCACGCAGGGUAGCCAGCAGGGCCUUCUGCAGCCCAGUCCCCAGCCACGCACUCUGGCGUGUUAUAAGAUUCUCGCCUUGUAUUUAUUCCAUAUUAGAAACAAAAAGCAGCCAAGCAAACAAAUCAUAGCCACACAGCCAGAUGUCCGUAGGAAGACUGGUAUUUUAAUCUGCCAAACUGUUUGUAAGGAAGCAAUCCCACUUUGAGGUUUUAAAAGCGGCCGUGGUAGCCGGUGUCGGUAGUUUUAACAUGGAACAGGCUCUGGAUCAUUCACAUCCACGUAUCGAUCUUUGUGGUUUUGAUGUUUAAAUUUUAAUUAAGCAGCCUUAGCAGAGAGGGAAACAGAUUUGCAUGGCCCUGGUAAUGGCCAAGAGGGCUUAUCCACUGCUGUUGCUAAGACAGGCUCUCAUGGACAAAUAAAACUGUGUGUGUAAUCAAAAUAUUUUAAAUGAACGCAGAGAAUGUUGGCUUUUCCUGUUUUUUUUAAGCCACCGGAGAAAGGGUUUCUCCAAAGAAAAAAUGUGCUUAUGUGCCAUAUCAGGCUAAGCCAGGGGCAGGGUUUAGAAAAAGUGAAGAAUGCCUUAACUGGAGGCCCAGGUUGAGGUUAAUAUUCACCAUGAUUUGGAAUUGAACACUGUUUCUCAGUGGAUCACAAUGCUUUAAGCUUCCAAUCCCAGCUGCUUUUUUGAGAGGGGGUGGGAUUUAGAAUUUUUGUUUCACUUCCAUUUGGAAGGAGCCUUUGGUUGGAAGUCAGGAUGGUCAGCUUCUGGCUUGUUUUGCCACUAACUCAUUAGUGACCCAGCACAGGCCCUUUAUAUCUUUGGAUCUGUUUCCUUAUCUCUAAAAUGGACACACGUUAGACGAGAUCACUGUUCUUCAGCUUGAAGGUGGUAAGAAAGCAGUUUAGUGAGACUCAAGCAGUAUUUUAGAAAGAUGAAAUAGAAUAGAACAUGUCAGAAACCACUGCCUAUGGGACACAUAAAUAAUUCUUUCCUGUAAUUUCCGUUUUAGACAUUUAUGUUUUUGUAUGUGGAUAUGGGCUCUAUGGCUGUCAGGUCUGUUUCUCACUGUGAAUCCCAAUCAGAAGACUUUGAGGAACACUGAAAUCAAUCAUAGCUUCUUAGUUUGUCAAGGCAUCGAUGAAAUGCAGUUUUAGAUGAACAUCCUUUUUUAAUACGAUGAGGAUGUCAGUAGUUGUCCUCAAAAUUUCAAAGCAGUCUAAGACCUCAAACAGGAUAUGAACUAUUGUGUUUUCCCCCAAGGCUGUUCCAAGCUAACUUUACUUAGAGAUCAAAGAAUCCUUUCAGGGCUUGGAGAUGGGUUUGUGUUGACCACAACAAGCAGAGUGUGAGAUGUGAGAUGGAGUGUGUGUGUGUGUGUGUGUGUGUGUGUGUGGAUGUUGAGGAGAAGUUGUGACCAUGGUAACCAGACCCUGAAAGCUAUUUGUAGGUUCCAGAGUGCCAGUUGCUGACCUGAAUAUGAAACAUAAAUAUCUAAAAUUUAGAGUCUUUGUGCUGAAAAGUACAACAGAAAAGCCAUUAACAUAUUGUACAUUGGAGUUCCGGUCGUGGUGCAGUGGAAAUGAAUCCGACUAGGAACCGUGAGGUUGUGGGUUCCAUCCCUGGCCUCGCUCAGUGGGUUGGGGGAUCCGGCAUUGUUGUGAGCUGUAGGUCGCAGAUGAGGCUUGGAUCCCACAUUGCUUUGGCUCUGGCAUAGGCUGGCAGCUACAGCUCUGAUUAGACCAAUAGCCUGGGAACCUCCAUAUGCCACGGGAGCAGCCCUAAAAGGGUAAAAGACAAAAGACAAAAAAAAAAAAAAA